AUAAUGAAUAUAAUUUAGUACCUUAAAUCCCAAUUCCUUUACCAUACAACAAAUCAAAGCAUAUUUUCACACAAUUCAUUGUACUUAUAUUUUCACACUUUUUUUUUCUUUUUUUUUUUUAAUGUCCUCAGGGGAGGUUUGAGCAAAAGAAGAAAGGAGACUGGGAAUAGGGAGAAUGGUAGGAAGAAGAGCAAGCUUUCAGGAACUGGACAUGGAAUAAUAAAUGGGAAUGAGCUGGAAGAACUGUUUUUUUCUUUCUUUUUUUGAAUAUUAAGGUUUGAUGUAUUUUAAAAUUGCACAUGCAAGCUAGAAUAUGUACCAGAAAGAAUUGCAAUUGCUCCAAAGUUACUGGCAGUGUACUCCAGACAGUCCUUGCUUUCUGAAAAGCCAGUUUACAAAAUUCCCAUUUGGCAAUGAUAGUGAUUAUCCACCCUAUGAAAGCAUUAGCUCAGGAUCUCUUUGCAUAGCUGGCUCCCCUAGUGCACUUCAAAUAUAUUUUGACCUUUCAGAUAAAGGGAAUAAAACAAGGUAGGCCUCCUGUUAACUUGGUUUCUACAAUUCAGUUUGGAAAAUGAUUCAUGUUUUCUAAUAUUUUCUGGGUGAAGCUCCUUAUUGGUCAACAUCAGACCAAAUCACCUUGGAAAGGCUAUCACAGAAUUCCUCGGGUGUUCUUCCUGCUUCCUUAUAGCAGAAAACAAAAUGUAAUGAGUAUGAGUAAAACAUUAUUUGAUACUCAGAAGCUUACAAUCCAGAGGUGAAAUCACAGAUCCGGAAAGAAGCAGCCCUCUUCCCUUUCAAAUGGCCACCUAUAUGCAGGACAAGAUAGAGAGGCUCCCUUUUGGGUCAAAUAAAAGGAUUUUGAUCCAUUCAAAAGAGAAGAUUUAAUAAAAAUAAUCAUCUCAAUAAGCUUAAAAAACAUAGAUUAGACAGAGAAAACACACUGAUCUUAUAAAUAGAAACUAUUACGUUUAAAGGGAUUUAAUAUCCCCGUAUUUGAAUCUAGGGCAAAUUACUCACUUUAAUGUCAGUAAUUUUAAAACUAUUCAUCUGUUAUUAUAAUACCUCUGUAACUUAAAAGACAAAUUUGCCCUAUGCUUCUGGAUAAUCCUGUUCUUUACAAAGCCUUUAGCAGUGCCUGUGGAAUAAUUACAGAAUAAUUUUUGAGUUAAAGAUAUUUAAAGGUAAUUUUGGAAGUUAUUUUAUGAUCACCACAACCCCAAGUCGAUUGUUUGCAGGCAAAAUGUUUUCACAUUCACAAUGGUGAAUGAGAGAUUGUCAACCAAAUACUUAACCAUGAUUAAUGAGAUAUAUUGUUUAUUUUUCCAAUCUUGAGUACAACUGUGAAUAAUUAAUCAUUUUCCCUAGAUAUUAUCACUAGAUUAUAAUUUAAAUUUCCUCUUAAUCACACAAAGGAAAAGCAAUGGCUUAUUGUUAUUUAUAACCAUUUAGCCUAUUUUCUUGUAUCAAUUUCAAUUUACUUGAACUAGGGGACUGAAGGUACAUUACAGAUAACAUUAGAAAAAAAUGCCAUUUAAAAAAAUUAUCUGAGUGAAAAAAAAUCUAUCUAUAACAUAUGGGGGAAAGGCAAGCAUACACAUUCAAAGGAGUAAAUAUUACAACCAUAAUCUGGGAUAUUGACAGUAAAUGUCAAGUACAGUAGAGCCUGGAACAACAUGGAUUUGGACUUGACAGGUCCACCUAUGCACAGAUUUUCUUCUGCCUCUACCACGUCUAAGACAGUAGGACCACGACGUUCUCUUUCUCCCCCUUCGCAGCCUACUCAACGUGAAGAUUAUAAGGAUGAAGACUUUUAAGAUAAUCCACUUCCAUUUAAUCAAUGUCUUGAACUCCAGUGGGACUCAAUUAAUACUCUUCCUGCCUCACCCAAAUCAGCCUUUGCACCUUGAGGAUGAUUGUUGAUGGGGCUCAGAACCGAAGUACAGAGUAUCAGUGAGCAGAGUGUUCCUUGCCUGCAUUGCUGUAGUGGAAUCAUACCCACAAUUUUUGCUGUCUGGCCUGUGGGACAAGAUAGAGAAAGUAGAGCACAAGCUAGUGCUCAUUAGGAUGUCGUCCAGAAGUUGUUCACACUCUUGCACUCACAGUGACAAAACAGACCUUAGUCAGAAACCACAGCUGACAGCAUGAAAGCUAAGAAAAGUGGCUUCCAGCUGUUUGAGGGUGAUUAUGUAUUCCUUCUUUACUUUCUGGGAGAUAAAACUGAUUUUCAGUUCCCUUUCUCAGAAGGCCUUUCUUCGGAAUGAAAUGGCUAAGUGACUCCCCUAGCCACAUGAGAUGAGCUCCUUGGAAAUGACGCCUACUGUACUGGGGAUAGGAAGCCAGCUGGAAGGAUGUCCCGUAUCAUCCCAGGAACAACAUACAGGAAGGUACUUUACUUUGUGAUGUCAACACCCACCAUCUUUUAGCUUCCCCAAGGCAUUAUUUUCAUAUUUAAUAGAACGUUUUAUUUUAAGGUAAAUUCCAGUAUGCAUGUAGAAAGGGGCAUUGGAAUAAAUGAUUUACUAGCACAGCUACUCUACAGACAAAUCUUCAACUACUUCUGUUUUAAGCCACAUUUCUAUACUUAUACCCUUGAAAAGAGCUGACUCCAAAUCCGCAUUAUGUAUUAGGUUCCAUGGGAAGAUAACCUGUCAUGAAACAUCCUCAUGUAUGCUUUCAGUUCUCUUUCAUCUAUCAACACGCCUUCAUAGACUUUUUGCUUUCUAGUAAUCUCAUUUAUAUAAUUUACCCCUCUGAACCCCCUUUUAUUUUUCCUAUUGAUACAAGUGUUUUCACCUAUUUAUAUUUUAAAACUUUCCACUUAAAUUGUGAGUAGAUAUGCUCACCCUCCAAAUUAAAACAAAAUCCUAAAGACCUAUCUACAUCCAAUUUUCAUUAGUUAGCAUGGACUCAUUUCCUUGGAUAAACAAAGCAAAUUGACCUAACUAUGAUAAGGCUAAGGAUACUCUCAGCAUAUAUAAAUGGGCAAUGAAUCAUGUGUUUGAGGCAGCACUGCAAGCUGAAUUGAUUGUCAUAGCUCAUUCACGUAUUUAUUCACUCAACAAAUAUUUAUGCCAGACAUUACUAUAUGUCAGACAGUAUUCAAAGUAUUAAAGUUAGAGCAGUGAACAAAACAGACAGAAAUUAAAGUGUAAGCUAAUAUUUUCAUUUGAGUGACUUGGGAUAACAUACUUUAGAUACCAAAAUAUUUUGAAACAGAAUGUAGCAAAAUUGGAGAGGGAUUAUAUGACAUUCAUUCUUUAAUCUAUGCAAAGAGUGUAUUUGGCAGGGAGGAAUAAGUUAUUAGGGCAGGUUUUAUCUAUAUAUCUACAUUUUAUAGCUAAAUCUUCUUUUCUAAAGUGAUGUUGUUAUAUAAUACAUGUGAAUUAUAUAAGAACUUGCAUGAAAUACAGCAUUUAAUGAUGGACUUCCUCUUUGUCCCACUAGAUGAAAUAACUUUUAAACAUGUAUGCAGCAAAGACCUUUUAAAAAUGCAAGGUUUAGAUGAACUAUAACAAGCUUUUCUCCUUAAGGCAAGCUUUGAUAAUGUAAUCCAGCCUCUCUGAUUCUCCCUAUAAAAUGUAUUAGUAUUCAGACUAACUUACUGUUCUACAUUAGAGAGACAGUAAAUAUAACAAGUCAAUAAAGGAGAGCUUGCCUUUGAUGUUAGAUAGCCGUGGGCACAUAUCCUCAAUCUUCUAUUUGCUAGCUAUGUAAACUUAGGCAACUUCCAUACUAUUCUAAGCUUGUAUUCAUUUAUAACAUUAAAUUUUAAAACUAUUUAACUCAAUGUUUGCAGAGAGAAUUCAAUGAUAUGAUGAAAGACAAAGCUAGACAUAUUCUAAAUGCUCAAUACAUGUUAUUCAUCAGUAUUUUAAUUUUAUUAUUAACAUGUCUUCUACUAAAUUUUUCUACAGAAUAUACUUGUUUCAACAAACUCAUUUUUCUCUCUGCAAAUUGUAAUUAUUCUUAACAACUAAAAACUCAAUUUUAGUUUCCAACAUUCCUUAGUUUAUUAAAAAGAAAUAUUUAAUUUCAAAGCCUAAUUCUGUUGAAUUCUACCAUAUAUUGACAGAUUUCCUAUACUAGUCUGAAUGUUAAUAAACUAGAUUUACUUAUUUUGUCUCCUAUUCAGCUACAAGGAAAUACCCAGAAUUUCUUAUUUACAAAGAAGCAGGUUCAUUCUAACUGGGGAUAUUUCACAGAUUCAAUGGGUUCAUCAGCUAACAUAUUCCUAAGUAAGCCAAAUAAGGUAUUCUUAACUCCAUAUUGUAAUUGAAACCUUUGGAAUCCAGUUACGAUUAAAAAGAAAAAACAAAACAAAACAAAACAAACAAACAAAAAAACCUCUUGUGUGGCAGAGGUAGAAUGACAAAAACUAUGUCAGACAGCAUAAGAAAUAGCCAAAGCAAAGAAAGCAUGUGUCAGUGAGGACAAACUAGGCCAUUUUGUGAUAAUAUAAGCUCCCAAAUCUUCUUGACUAACAGCAACAAAGGCUGGUUUCUGGCACAUGUGAUGAGUCUAUAACAGAUUGGCAGUGACUGUACUCACUAUGAGACCCAAGCAUUCAGCACAGCUUUUAAACAUUAACAGUCAUGAUGGCAUAAAGAAACAGAACACAGAAACACACGUGGGCUCUUAAAGUUUCUAACAAGAUUGACAGCCUCUUUCAUUCAUAACGUAUUGGUUCAAGCAAGGAAAACAGUCAAGCCUAAUGUCAAUAUGGUAGUGAAUACAUGUAAAUGAUACUAUCUACUACAUUGAACAUACUAGCAAUAGUAUCAUAUAGAUAUAUCGCUCUUCAUUAUAUAUCUUGUAUGUUCUAUACACAUUACUUAAUUUCAUCCUUAUAUUAAUCCUAUGAAGACAAAGUGUAUGUCAUUAUCUCCAUUUAAUAUUCUUAAAAGCUGAGUUAAAAGAAAUGUGGAGUCUGGCAAGAUGACAGAGUAGAAAGCACUUGGAAUCCAUCUCCUCUCUAAAACAACAAUUGUACUGGAAGAAUCCGGUGUGACUAUUUUGAUAAACUUUUUAGUCAAUUGAAAGCUUGCCACUUUGAGAGGAAGGCUUAGUUGGUAAAUUGCAAUACUUUCAGUCAAUUUCAGCUUUCAGUUCAGCAGCAGCUACCCAUUCCUUACCCCAGUCCAAAGGCAAGCACAUAUUCCUGAUGCAGCUUGCAUGAAGCUUGCAGAAACCAGGGUGGGUAAUAAACACCCUCUCCUCCAAUAUCUGGAUCUGUAUUCUGAUAAAUGAUUGCUAUUUAUAAUCAUGGAAGUACAGAAACAGAAGAGAGCAGACACUGUUGCAUCCCCACAUAAUUGCAAGCCACUACCCAUCCGAUGGAAGUGGUUUCAGGGCAUUUAAUUGCAAGUACCUUUCCCCUCUUUAUUUUUCUCUUUUUUGCCUUUUGUGAAGCUCUACAUUAAAUAUCACAAUGUUCAAAAGCAACAACAUGCAUUGGAGAAAUUAGAAACUCGCUAUGUGUGACCAGGGAAUGGGGCAGGCUCAAAAAAAAAAAAAAAAAA
This is a long non-coding RNA of Chlorocebus sabaeus (green monkey), 5519 nucleotides long. RefSeq lists it as uncharacterized. The record is from RefSeq and is a predicted model, not a curated record. Lineage: Eukaryota; Metazoa; Chordata; Mammalia; Primates; Cercopithecidae.